GGAUGCGAUCAUACCAGCACUAAAGCACCGGAUACCAUCAAAACUCCGAAGUUAAGCGUGCUUGGGCGAGAGUAGUACUAGGAUGGGUGACCUCCUGGGAAGUCCUCGUGUUGCAUUCC
RNAcentral lists this ribosomal RNA (119 nucleotides) under Triticum aestivum (bread wheat). The record is from RNAcentral. Lineage: Eukaryota; Viridiplantae; Streptophyta; Magnoliopsida; Poales; Poaceae.